This 537-nucleotide ribosomal RNA is filed under the name Triticum aestivum (bread wheat). RNAcentral describes it as "partial small subunit ribosomal RNA". Lineage: Eukaryota; Viridiplantae; Streptophyta; Magnoliopsida; Poales; Poaceae. The record is from RNAcentral.
AUGUUCCAUGAGUAUGACGCAGAAGAAACCUGCAAAAUAAGGAUCCCGACAAGUAACGUGAAGGACUGUAUAGCAUGGCAUGGAGAAAACCUUAAAUACCACCGCGACCUAAAUGCGUCCAGCUCAGCUAAUGAUGCGGAUAACAGAAGUAUAUGGGACCUAAUAUGGAAAACAAAGGUCCCUGGAAAGGUUAGGAUCUUUGUGUGGCGAGUUGCGACAGAAACACUCCCUACAAAGGAAAAUAAAUGGAAGAGAACACUGGAGGUGGAUAAUAUAUGCAGCAUUUGUGGCAGAGAGAAGGAGGAUGAGUUCCAUGCGACAAUAAAUUGCGCAAAAGCAAGAGCACUAAGAGAAGAGAUGAGGGAGCACUGGAACCUACCUGCAGAAAACUGUUUUCGUUUUUCAGGCAAGGAUUGGCUACAAAACCUGCUGGGGAAGGGAGACAUGGAGGAGAGGAAAAGGAUCCUCCUUCUACUGUGGAGAGCUUGGUGGCUGCGAGAUAAUUGUGUCCAUGUUGACGGCAGGGCUACAAUUGGC